Molecule: ribosomal RNA, 301 nt
Filed under: uncultured bacterium
Lineage: Bacteria
Description: partial 16S ribosomal RNA
Rfam family: Bacterial small subunit ribosomal RNA
Source: RNAcentral
CAGCAGCCGCGGUAAUACGUAGGGUGCAAGCGUUAAUCGGAAUUACUGGGCGUAAAGCGUGCGCAGGCGGUUAUAUAAGUCAGAUGUGAAAUCCCCGGGCUCAACCUGGGAACUGCAUUUGAGACUGUAUGGCUAGAGUGUGUCAGAGGGGGGUAGAAUUCCACGUGUAGCAGUGAAAUGCGUAGAUAUGUGGAGGAAUACCGAUGGCGAAGGCAGCCCCCUGGGAUAACGCUGACGCUCAUGCGCGAAAGCGUGGGGAGCAAACAGGAUUAGAUACCCCAGUAGUCCCUGUCUCUUAUAC